CCUACGGGAGGCUGCAGUGGGGAAUAUUGCACAAUGGGGGAAACCCUGAUGCAGCAACGCCGCGUGGGUGAAGGAGCGUUUCGGCGCGUAAAGCGCUGACAGCGGGGAAGACGAAAGAAGGUAACCGACCAAGAAGCCCCGGCUAACUACGUGCCAGCAGCCGCGGUCAUACGUAGGGGGCGAGCGGUGUCCGGUAUUACUGGGGGUAAAGGGAGCGUAGGCGGCGAGGUAAUGCUGAAGUGGAAGCCCGCGGCCGAACCGCGGAACUGGUUUGGGGACGGUUUUGGUGGGGUAUGGGGGGGGUAAGCGGAAUUCCUGGUGUAGCGGUGAAAUGCGUAGAUAUCAGGAGGAACACCGGUGGCGAAGGCGGCUUACUGGACCAUAACUGACGUUGAGGCUCGAAAGCGUGGGGAGCGAACAGGAGUAGAUACCCCGGUAGUC
Molecule: ribosomal RNA, 441 nt
Filed under: uncultured bacterium
Lineage: Bacteria
Description: partial 16S ribosomal RNA
Rfam family: Bacterial small subunit ribosomal RNA
Source: RNAcentral